Molecule: long non-coding RNA, 306 nt
Filed under: Olea europaea subsp. europaea
Lineage: Eukaryota; Viridiplantae; Streptophyta; Magnoliopsida; Lamiales; Oleaceae
Source: RNAcentral
CCAAAUGUGACGCACCAGUAUGCAAUUUCUGUCACUGCACUUUUGCGUUAUUAUCUCUCUAAAGCAAGGAUUUUACGCUUGAUAAUAAAACCUGGAGUGGAGAUGUUUUUUUGUUGUUAGAUACACAAUAUAUGUAUCUAUAGUUUGGGUUAAGGUCUGUUUUUGUCAUGUUGUCGUCAUCAUCUUCGACUAAGGUAUGCUUCAAUUCGAACUGCAAAGAGCCGUUGGAGAAAUGGAGAAGAGGUUGGCGUCUUCGCACUGGCGAGUACGCUGACCUUUGCGAUCGCUGCGCGUAAGCAAUUUACG